Molecule: ribosomal RNA, 440 nt
Filed under: uncultured bacterium
Lineage: Bacteria
Description: partial 16S ribosomal RNA
Rfam family: Bacterial small subunit ribosomal RNA
Source: RNAcentral
CCUACGGGUGGCUGCAGUGGGGAAUAUUGGACAAUGGGGGAAACCCUGACCCAGCGACGCCGCGUGAAGGAAGAAGGAUUUCGGUAUGUAAACUUCUAUCAGCAGGGAAGAAAAUGAUGGUACCUGACUAAGAAGCACCGACUAACUACGUGCCAGCAGCCGCGGUAAUACGUAGGGGGCAAGCGUUAUUCGGAUUUACUGGGUGUAAAGGGAGCGUAGGCGGGAGAGCAAGUCAGAAGUGAAAGCCCGGGGCUCAACUCCGGGACUGCUUUUGAAACUGUUGAACUAGAGUGCAGGAGAGGUAAGUGGAAGUCCUAGUGUAGCGGUGAAAUGCGUAGAUAUUAGGAGGAACACCAGUGGCGAAGGCGGCUUACUGGACUGUAAAUGACGCUGAGGCGCGAAAGCGUGGGGAGCAAACAGGAUUAGAUACCCGAGUAGUC